This 468-nucleotide ribosomal RNA is filed under the name uncultured bacterium. RNAcentral's name for it is "partial 16S ribosomal RNA". It matches the Rfam family "Bacterial small subunit ribosomal RNA", at positions 28 to 507 of the family's 1533-position model. The record is from RNAcentral.
GACGAACGCUGGCGGCGUGCUUAACACAUGCAAGUCGAACGGAAAGGCCCUGCUUUUGUGGGGUGCUCGCGUGGCGAACGGGUGAGUAACACGUGAGUAUCCUGCCCUUUACUUUGGGAUAACUUCAGGAAACUGGGGCUAAUACCGGCUAGGAGCUCCUGCUGCAUGGUGGGGGUUGGAAAGUUUCGGCGGUUGGGGAUGGACUCGCGGCUUAUCAGCUUGUUGGUGGGGUAGUGGCUUACCAAGGCAUUGACGGGUAGCCCGCCUGGGAGGGUGACCGGGGACAUUGGGACUGAGAGAGGGCGCAGACGGCUACGGUGGGCAACAGGGGAGAACAUUGCACAAUGAGGCGAAGUGUGUGGCAGCGACGUCGGGUGCGGGAUGACGGCCUUGUGGUGGGAAACCGCAGUCGGCUGAGACGAAGCGGGAGUGACGGUAAUGGGUGAAGAAGCACCGGCUAACUACGUG